This 273-nucleotide ribosomal RNA is filed under the name uncultured bacterium. Its description in RNAcentral is "partial 16S ribosomal RNA". It matches the Rfam family "Bacterial small subunit ribosomal RNA", at positions 524 to 796 of the family's 1533-position model. The record is from RNAcentral.
UACGUAGGGGCCUAGCGUUGUCCGGAAUUAUUGGGCGUAAAGAGCUCGUAGGCGGCCCAACAAGUCGGAUGUGAAAUCUCAAGGCUCAACCUUGAAAUUGCAUCCGAUACUGAUGGGCUUGAGGCAGGUAGGGGAAGGUGGAAUUCCUGGUGUAGCGGUGAAAUGCGCAGAUAUCAGGAGGAACACCGGUGGCGAAGGCGGCCUUCUGGGCCUGUACUGACGCUGAGGAGCGAAAGCGUGGGGAGCAAACAGGAUUAGAAACCCCCGUAGUCC